This 2897-nucleotide ribosomal RNA is filed under the name Pseudomonas syringae. RNAcentral's name for it is "bacterial LSU rRNA". It matches the Rfam family "Bacterial large subunit ribosomal RNA". RNAcentral also lists the same sequence under 2 other names. Lineage: Bacteria; Pseudomonadati; Pseudomonadota; Gammaproteobacteria; Pseudomonadales; Pseudomonadaceae. The record is from RNAcentral.
UAUGGUCAAGUGAAGAAGCGCAUACGGUGGAUGCCUUGGCAGUCAGAGGCGAUGAAAGACGUGGUAGCCUGCGAAAAGCUUCGGGGAGUCGGCAAACAGACUGUGAUCCGGAGAUAUCUGAAUGGGGGAACCCAGCCAUCAUAAGAUGGUUAUCUUGUACUGAAUACAUAGGUGCAAGAGGCGAACCAGGGGAACUGAAACAUCUAAGUACCCUGAGGAAAAGAAAUCAACCGAGAUUCCCUUAGUAGUGGCGAGCGAACGGGGACCAGCCCUUAAGUUGUAUUGAGAUUAGCGGAACGUUCUGGAAAGGACGGCCAUAGUGGGUGAUAGCCCUGUACGCGAAAAUCCCUUUGCAAUGAAAUCGAGUAGGACGGGGCACGAGAAACCUUGUCUGAAUAUGGGGGGACCAUCCUCCAAGGCUAAAUACUACUGACUGACCGAUAGUGAACCAGUACCGUGAGGGAAAGGCGAAAAGAACCGCGGAGAGCGGAGUGAAAUAGAUCCUGAAACCGUAUGCGUACAAGCAGUGGGAGCCCACUUUGUUGGGUGACUGCGUACCUUUUGUAUAAUGGGUCAGCGACUUAUUUUCAGUGGCGAGCUUAACCGAAUAGGGGAGGCGUAGCGAAAGCGAGUCUUAAUAGGGCGUCUAGUCGCUGGGAAUAGACCCGAAACCGGGCGAUCUAUCCAUGGGCAGGUUGAAGGUUGGGUAACACUAACUGGAGGACCGAACCGACUACCGUUGAAAAGUUAGCGGAUGACCUGUGGAUCGGAGUGAAAGGCUAAUCAAGCUCGGAGAUAGCUGGUUCUCCUCGAAAGCUAUUUAGGUAGCGCCUCAUGUAUCACUGUAGGGGGUAGAGCACUGUUUCGGCUAGGGGGUCAUCCCGACUUACCAAACCGAUGCAAACUCCGAAUACCUACAAGUGCCGAGCAUGGGAGACACACGGCGGGUGCUAACGUCCGUCGUGAAAAGGGAAACAACCCAGACCGUCAGCUAAGGUCCCAAAGUCAUGGUUAAGUGGGAAACGAUGUGGGAAGGCUUAGACAGCUAGGAGGUUGGCUUAGAAGCAGCCACCCUUUAAAGAAAGCGUAAUAGCUCACUAGUCGAGUCGGCCUGCGCGGAAGAUGUAACGGGGCUCAAACCAUGCACCGAAGCUACGGGUAUCAUCUUUUGAUGAUGCGGUAGAGGAGCGUUCUGUAAGCCUGUGAAGGUGAGUUGAGAAGCUUGCUGGAGGUAUCAGAAGUGCGAAUGCUGACAUGAGUAACGACAAUGGGUGUGAAAAACACCCACGCCGAAAGACCAAGGUUUCCUGCGCAACGUUAAUCGACGCAGGGUUAGUCGGUCCCUAAGGCGAGGCUGAAAAGCGUAGUCGAUGGAAAACAGGUUAAUAUUCCUGUACUUCUGGUUAUUGCGAUGGAGGGACGGAGAAGGCUAGGCCAGCCUGGCGUUGGUUGUCCAGGUUUAAGGUGGUAGGCUGAGAUCUUAGGUAAAUCCGGGAUCUUAAGGCCGAGAGCUGAUGACGAGUGUUCUUUAGAACACGAAGUGGUUGAUGCCAUGCUUCCAAGAAAAGCUUCUAAGCUUCAGGUAACCAGGAACCGUACCCCAAACCGACACAGGUGGUUGGGUAGAGAAUACCAAGGCGCUUGAGAGAACUCGGGUGAAGGAACUAGGCAAAAUGGCACCGUAACUUCGGGAGAAGGUGCGCCGGUGAGGGUGAAGCAUUUACUGCGUAAGCUCAUGCCGGUCGAAGAUACCAGGCCGCUGCGACUGUUUAUUAAAAACACAGCACUCUGCAAACACGAAAGUGGACGUAUAGGGUGUGACGCCUGCCCGGUGCCGGAAGGUUAAUUGAUGGGGUUAGCGCAAGCGAAGCUCUUGAUCGAAGCCCCGGUAAACGGCGGCCGUAACUAUAACGGUCCUAAGGUAGCGAAAUUCCUUGUCGGGUAAGUUCCGACCUGCACGAAUGGCGUAACGAUGGCGGCGCUGUCUCCACCCGAGACUCAGUGAAAUUGAAAUCGCUGUGAAGAUGCAGUGUAUCCGCGGCUAGACGGAAAGACCCCGUGAACCUUUACUAUAGCUUUGCACUGGACUUUGAAUUUGCUUGUGUAGGAUAGGUGGGAGGCUUUGAAGCGUGGACGCCAGUCUGCGUGGAGCCAACCUUGAAAUACCACCCUGGCAACUUUGAGGUUCUAACUCAGGUCCGUUAUCCGGAUCGAGGACAGUGUAUGGUGGGUAGUUUGACUGGGGCGGUCUCCUCCUAAAGAGUAACGGAGGAGUACGAAGGUGCGCUCAGACCGGUCGGAAAUCGGUCGUAGAGUAUAAAGGCAAAAGCGCGCUUGACUGCGAGACAGACACGUCGAGCAGGUACGAAAGUAGGUCUUAGUGAUCCGGUGGUUCUGUAUGGAAGGGCCAUCGCUCAACGGAUAAAAGGUACUCCGGGGAUAACAGGCUGAUACCGCCCAAGAGUUCAUAUCGACGGCGGUGUUUGGCACCUCGAUGUCGGCUCAUCACAUCCUGGGGCUGAAGCCGGUCCCAAGGGUAUGGCUGUUCGCCAUUUAAAGUGGUACGCGAGCUGGGUUUAGAACGUCGUGAGACAGUUCGGUCCCUAUCUGCCGUGGACGUUUGAGAUUUGAGAGGGGCUGCUCCUAGUACGAGAGGACCGGAGUGGACGAACCUCUGGUGUUCCGGUUGUCACGCCAGUGGCAUUGCCGGGUAGCUAUGUUCGGAAAAGAUAACCGCUGAAAGCAUCUAAGCGGGAAACUUGCCUCAAGAUGAGAUCUCACUGGAACCUUGAGUUCCCUAAAGGGCCGUCGAAGACUACGACGUUGAUAGGUUGGGUGUGUAAGCGCUGUGAGGCGUUGAGCUAACCAAUACUAAUUGCCCGUGAGGCUUGACCAUA